AGUGAACGCUGGCGGUAGGCCUAACACAUGCAAGUCGAACGGCAGCACAGUAAGAGCUUGCUCUUACGGGUGGCGAGUGGCGGACGGGUGAGGAAUACAUCGGAAUCUACUUUUUCGUGGGGGAUAACGUAGGGAAACUUACGCUAAUACCGCAUACGACCUACGGGUGAAAGCAGGGGAUCUUCGGACCUUGCGCGAUUGAAUGAGCCGAUGUCGGAUUAGCUAGUUGGCGGGGUAAAGGCCCACCAAGGCGACGACCCGUAGCUGGUCUGAGAGGAUGAUCAGCCACACUGGAACUGAGACACGGUCCAGACUCCUACGGGAGGCAGCAGUGGGGAAUAUUGGACAAUGGGCGCAAGCCUGAUCCAGCCAUACCGCGUGGGUGAAGAAGGCCUUCGGGUUGUAAAGCCCUUUUGUUGGGAAAGAAAAGCAGCAGGUUAAUACCCCGCUGUUCUGACGGUACCAAAAGAAUAAGCACCGGCUAACUUCGUG
Molecule: ribosomal RNA, 492 nt
Filed under: uncultured bacterium
Lineage: Bacteria
Description: partial 16S ribosomal RNA
Rfam family: Bacterial small subunit ribosomal RNA
Source: RNAcentral